RNAcentral lists this ribosomal RNA (507 nucleotides) under Wickerhamomyces sp. Its description in RNAcentral is "LSU rRNA". It matches the Rfam family "Eukaryotic large subunit ribosomal RNA", at positions 123 to 643 of the family's 3401-position model. Lineage: Eukaryota; Fungi; Ascomycota; Saccharomycetes; Phaffomycetales; Wickerhamomycetaceae. The record is from RNAcentral.
UAGCACCUUCGGUGUUCGAGUUGUAAUUUGAAGAUGGUAACCUUGGGUUUGGCUCUUGUCUAUGUUCCUUGGAACAGGACGUCAUAGAGGGUGAGAAUCCCGUCUGAUGAGAUGCCCAUUCCUAUGUAAGGUGCUAUCGAAGAGUCGAGUUGUUUGGGAAUGCAGCUCUAAGUGGGUGGUAAAUUCCAUCUAAAGCUAAAUAUUGGCGAGAGACCGAUAGCGAACAAGUACAGUGAUGGAAAGAUGAAAAGAACUUUGAAAAGAGAGUGAAAAAGUACGUGAAAUUGUUGAAAGGGAAGGGCAUUAGAUCAGACUUGGUGUUUUACGAUUAUCUUCUCUUCUUGAGUUGUGCACUCGUAUUUCACUGGGCCAGCAUCGAUUCGGAUGGCAAGAUAAUGGCAGUUGAAUGUGGCUUCACUUCGGUGGAGUGUUAUAGCUUCUGCUGAUAUUGCCUGUCUGGAUCGAGGGCUGCGUCUUUUGACUAGGAUGCUGGCGUAAUGAUCUAAU